GAGCUUUGGGCCCACUAGAGGGAAACACAUGACAGGCAGCCUUUAUUGAAUCCCAGGUCACAGAGGGAGGGGUGCAUUGUUAUGUGCAGGGGCAGCGGGGUGAAACAGGCGGAAGGUGGAUGCUGACCAGAGCAGGUGAGGAGCCUCAAGGGACAUCACAAGGAGACCUGUAGCUCCAGGGGCCAGGAGAGCCAGCAGAAUCAGCGUCAAAGGCAAGGUGUGGACCGGCAGCAGGGACACCAUCCUGGGCUGGGAGGGGACAGCGCUGGCAGGCUGGGGCUUCGGCAGGCCAGUGAGGCCCUGCCCCCAGGGUGACACGGAUGGAACUGGCCUAAAAGACCCACGCUUGGAGCUGCCAGAAGGCUUGUUUAACCACCAGAAGAGCUGGCAUCAGAACCCACGUCUGUCUGUUAUACCCGUUUCUCACACCGCAGUGCCACUCUUCUGUCACCCAGCCAGUCAGGCAAACAUGCCCGCUCCACAGGCCUGCAGACCUCCGAUGGCAACUACUGUCCUUGUGUUGACAGAGCUGCCAUCGAGCUUUCCGGAGGUCACUUUGUACCUCAAGUUUUUCACAUUGAAAAUUCUUUCUUUACCCAGAUGAUCUAGCAAGAUAUGAUGGUGUAAAAAUGCCUAUAAAAUAAAGAUACAGAAUGAAUUCUGAA
Cavia porcellus (domestic guinea pig) is the source of this 665-nucleotide long non-coding RNA. RefSeq lists it as uncharacterized. The transcript has 4 exons. NCBI's taxonomy places the organism in Eukaryota, Metazoa, Chordata, Mammalia, Rodentia, Caviidae. The record is from RefSeq and is a predicted model, not a curated record.